This 402-nucleotide ribosomal RNA is filed under the name uncultured bacterium. Its description in RNAcentral is "bacterial SSU rRNA". It matches the Rfam family "Bacterial small subunit ribosomal RNA", at positions 355 to 774 of the family's 1533-position model. The record is from RNAcentral.
UGGGGAAUCUUGCACAAUGGGGGCAACCCUGAUGCAGCGACGCCGCGUGAGCGAUGAAGCCCUUCGGGGCGUAAAGCUCUUUCGACCGGAACGAUAAUGACGGUACCGGGAGAAGAAGCUGCGGCUAACUACGUGCCAGCAGCCGCGGUAAUACGUAGGCAGCAAGCGUUGUUCGGAGUUACUGGGCGUAAAGAGUGCGUAGGCGGUUUUCUAAGUUCGGUGUGAAAUCUCCCGGCUUAACUGGGAGGGGGCGCCGAAGACUGGGAAGCGGGAGUGGGGGAAAGGCAGGCGGAAUUCCUGGUGUAGCGGUGAAAUGCGUAGAUAUCAGGAGGAACACCGGCGGUGUAGACGGCUUGCUAGACCAUAACUGACGCUGAGGCACGAAAGCGUGGGUAGCAAACA